This 423-nucleotide ribosomal RNA is filed under the name uncultured bacterium. RNAcentral describes it as "bacterial SSU rRNA". It matches the Rfam family "Bacterial small subunit ribosomal RNA", at positions 207 to 622 of the family's 1533-position model. The record is from RNAcentral.
AAGACCUUGCGCUUUUGGAGCGGCCGAUGUCUGAUUAGCUUGUUGGUAAGGUAAAAGCUUACCAAGGCUUCGAUCAGUAGCUGGUCUGAGAGGACGACCAGCCACACUGGGACUGAGACACGGCCCAGACUCCUACGGGAGGCAGCAGUGGGGAAUUUUGGACAAUGGGGGCAACCCUGAUCCAGCCAUGCCGCGUGAGUGAAGAAGGCCUUCGGGUUGUAGAGCUCCUUCAGCCGGAACGAAACGGUUACGGUUAAUACCCGUGACUACUGACGGUACCGGAAGAAGAAGCACCGGCUAACUACGUGCCAGCAGCCGCGGUAAUACGUAGGGUGCAAGCGUUAAUCGGAAUUACUGGGCGUAAAGCGUGCGCAGGUGGUUUUGUAAGUCAGAUGUGAAAUCCCCGGGCUUAACCUGGGAACU